AACCUGGUUGAUCCUGCCAGUAGUCAUAUGCUUGUCUCAAAGACUAAGCCAUGCAUGUCUAAGUAUAAAUGCUAUACAAUGAAACUGCGAAUGGCUCAUUAAAACAGUUAUACGUUUAUUUGGUAAUCGAAUUUACAUGGAUAACCGUGGUAAUUCUAGAGCUAAUACAUGCUACUAAGCCUGACUUCUUGAAAGGCCGUAUUUAUUAGAUAACAGACCAAUAUUCCUCGUGUCUAUUGUGGUGAAUCAUAGUAAC
This 256-nucleotide ribosomal RNA is filed under the name uncultured marine eukaryote. RNAcentral describes it as "partial 18S ribosomal RNA". It matches the Rfam family "Eukaryotic small subunit ribosomal RNA", at positions 1 to 260 of the family's 1831-position model. The record is from RNAcentral.